CGGGUGAGUAACGCGUAUCCAACCUGCCCACCACUUGGGGAUAACCUUGCGAAAGUAAGACUAAUACCCAAUGAUAUCUCUAGAAGACAUCUGAAAGAGAUUAAAGAUUUAUCGGUGAUGGAUGGGGAUGCGUCUGAUUAGCUUGUUGGCGGGGUAACGGCCCACCAAGGCGACGAUCAGUAGGGGUUCUGAGAGGAAGGUCCCCCACAUUGGAACUGAGACACGGUCCAAACUCCUACGGGAGGCAGCAGUGAGGAAUAUUGGUCAAUGGACGAGAGUCUGAACCAGCCAAGUAGCGUGCAGGAUGACGGCCCUAUGGGUUGUAAACUGCUUUUAUAAGGGAAUAAAGUGAGUCUCGUGAGGCUUUUUGCAUGUACCUUAUGAAUAAGGACCGGCUAAUUCCGUGCCAGCAGCCGCGGUAAUACGGAAGGUCCGGGCGUUAUCCGGAUUUAUUGGGUUUAAAGGGAGCGUAGGCCGGAGAUUAAGCGUGUUGUGAAAUGUAGAUGCUCAACAUCUGCACUGCAGCGCGAACUGGUUUCCUUGAGUACGCACAAAGUGGGCGGAAUUCGUGGUGUAGCGGUGAAAUGCUUAGAUAUCACGAAGAACUCCGAUUGCGAAGGCAGCUCACUGGAGCGCAACUGACGCUGAAGCUCGAAAGUGCGGGUAUCGAACAGGAUUAGAUACCCUGGUAGUCCGCACGGUAAACGAUGGAUGCCCGCUGUUGGUCUGAAUAGGUCAGCGGCCAAGCGAAAGCAUUAAGCAUCCCACCUGGGGAGUACGCCGGCAACGGUGAAACUCAAAGGAAUUGACGGGGGCCCGCACAAGCGGAGGAACAUGUGGUUUAAUUCGAUGAUACGCGAGGAACCUUACCCGGGCUUGAAUUGCAGCGGAAGGAUUUGGAGACAAUGACGCCCUUCGGGGUCUCUGUGAAGGUGCUGCAUGGUUGUCGUCAGCUCGUGCCGUGAGGUGUCGGCUUAAGUGCCAUAACGAGCGCAACCCCUCUCCUUAGUUGCCAUCAGGUUAAGCUGGGCACUCUGGGGACACUGCCACCGUAAGGUGUGAGGAAGGUGGGGAUGACGUCAAAUCAGCACGGCCCUUACGUCCGGGGCUACACACGUGUUACAAUGGCAGGUACAGAGAGAUGGUGUUCUGCAAAGCGCAUCUAAUCCUUAAAGCCUGUCUCAGUUCGGACUGGGGUCUGCAACCCGACC
This 1211-nucleotide ribosomal RNA is filed under the name human gut metagenome. Its description in RNAcentral is "bacterial SSU rRNA". It matches the Rfam family "Bacterial small subunit ribosomal RNA", at positions 103 to 1317 of the family's 1533-position model. The record is from RNAcentral.